AUCAGUGGCGAACGGGUGAGUAACACGUGAGUAACCUGCCCCUGACUCUGGGAUAACCCCGGGAAACCGGAGCUAAUACCGGAUAUGACACGCCCCUGCAUGGGGAGUGUGUGGAAAGUUUUUCGGUCUGGGAUGGACUCGCGGCCUAUCAGCUUGUUGGUGAGGUAAUGGCUCACCAAGGCGACGACGGGUAGCCGGCCUGAGAGGGCGACCGGCCACACUGGGACUGAGACACGGCCCAGACUCCUACGGGAGGCAGCAGUGGGGAAUAUUGCACAAUGGGCGAAAGCCUGAUGCAGCGACGCCGCGUGAGGGAUGACGGCCUUCGGGUUGUAAACCUCUUUCAGCAGGGAAGAAGCGCAAGUGACGGUACCUGCAGAAGAAGCACCGGCUAACUACGUGCCAGCAGCCGCGGUAAUACGUAGGGUGCGAGCGUUGUCCGGAAUUAUUGGGCGUAAAGAGCUUGUAGGUGGUUUGUCGCGUCUGCUGUGAAAAUCCGAGGCUCAACCUCGGACUUGCAGUGGGUACGGGCAGACUAGAGUGUGGUAGGGGAGACUGGAAUUCCUGGUGUAGCGGUGGAAUGCGCAGAUAUCAGGAGGAACACCGAUGGCGAAGGCAGGUCUCUGGGCCAUUACUGACAC
RNAcentral lists this ribosomal RNA (641 nucleotides) under Terrabacter sp. I13A-01698. RNAcentral describes it as "bacterial SSU rRNA". It matches the Rfam family "Bacterial small subunit ribosomal RNA", at positions 91 to 746 of the family's 1533-position model. The record is from RNAcentral. Lineage: Bacteria; Bacillati; Actinomycetota; Actinomycetes; Micrococcales; Intrasporangiaceae.